GGGGAAUUUUCCGCAAUGGGCGCAAGCCUGACGGAGCAAUACCGCGUGCGGGAGGAAGGCUUUUGGGUCGUAAACCGCUUUUAUUGGGGAAGAAGCUCUGACGGUACCCAAUGAAUCAGCAUCGGCUAACUCCGUGCCAGCAGCCGCGGUAAUACGGAGGAUGCAAGCGUUAUCCGGAAUUAUUGGGCGUAAAGCGUCCGCAGGUGGCUGGUCAAGUCUGCUGUUAAAGCGUAGAGCUUAACUCUAUAUCGGCAGUGGAAACUGGACAGCUAGAGUACGGUAGGGGUAGCGGGAAUUCCCAGUGUAGCGGUGAAAUGCGUAGAUAUUGGGAAGAACACCAGCGGCGAAAGCGCGCUACUGGGCCUGUACUGACACUGAGGGACGAAAGCUAGGGGAGCGAAAGGGAUUAGAUACCCCUGUAGUCCUAGCUGUAAACGAUGGAUACUAGGUGUUGCGCGUAUCGACCCGUGCAGUGCCGUAGCUAACGCGUUAAGUAUCCCGCCUGGGGAGUACGCACGCAAGUGUGAAACUCAAAGGAAUUGACGGGGGCCCGCACAAGCGGUGGAGUAUGUGGUUUAAUUCGAUGCAACGCGAAGAACCUUACCAGGGCUUGACAUGUCGCGAAUCUCCUUGAAAGGGGAGAGUGCCUACGGGAGCGCGAACACAGGUGGUGCAUGGCUGUCGUCAGCUCGUGUCGUGAGAUGUUGGGUUAAGUCCCGCAACGAGCGCAACCCACGUCCUUAGUUGCCAGCAUUCAGUUGGGCACUCUGGGGAGACUGCCGGUGACAAACCGGAGGAAGGUGUGGAUGACGUCAAGUCAUCAUGCCCCUUACGUCCUGGGCUACACACGUACUACAAUGCUAUGGACAAAGAGUUGCGAGACCGCGAGGUUCAGCUAAUCUCAUAAACCAUGGCACAGUUCAGAUUGCAGGCUGCAACUCGCCUGCAUGAAGGCGGAAUCGCUAGUAAUCGCAGGUCAGCAUACUGCGGUGAAUACGUUCCCGGGCCUUGUACACACCGCCCGUCACACCAUGGAAGUUGGCCACGCCCGAAGUCGUUACUCCAACCGAGAGGAGGGGGAUGCCGAAGGCAGGGCUGAUGACUGGGGUGAAGUCGUAACAAGGUAGCCGUACCGGAAGGUGUGGCUGGAUCACCUCCUUUUAGGGAGACCUGCUCUGUACAGAUGAAACCCAAUAUAUUUAGUCUGUAAUUGAGCUAUCCCAAGGUCGAUACAAGCUAAGGCUAAGCUUUCAAACGAAUUGGUUCAUUCUUUAAUCUAAAGAACCUUGAAAACUGCAUAGUCAUGAAGUCAGGUAGGUGUAGUGCUGGUUGUGAGACCGGACACUACAACACAGACACCAAAAGAGAGAUAAAAGAACGUGGUCAAGCUACGAAGGGCUCAUGGUGGAUACCUAGGCACACAGAG
RNAcentral lists this unclassified non-coding RNA (1426 nucleotides) under Arthronema africanum N16-MA1. Its description in RNAcentral is "bacterial SSU rRNA". The stretch from base 1 to 1161 matches the Rfam family "Bacterial small subunit ribosomal RNA", at positions 356 to 1533 of the family's 1533-position model. Lineage: Bacteria; Bacillati; Cyanobacteriota; Cyanophyceae; Leptolyngbyales; Leptolyngbyaceae. The record is from RNAcentral.